GGGUGCGAUCAUACUAGCACUAAUGCACCGGAUCCCAUCAGAACUCCGAAGUUAACCGUGCUUGGGCGAAAGUAGUACAAGGAUGGGUGACCUCAAGGAAAGUCCUCAUGUUGCACCCCC
RNAcentral lists this ribosomal RNA (120 nucleotides) under Colocasia esculenta (taro). The record is from RNAcentral. Lineage: Eukaryota; Viridiplantae; Streptophyta; Magnoliopsida; Alismatales; Araceae.